UAAUAAGCCAUAUGCCUACCUAUCUUUGU
Molecule: non-coding RNA, 29 nt
Filed under: Mus musculus (house mouse)
Lineage: Eukaryota; Metazoa; Chordata; Mammalia; Rodentia; Muridae
Source: RNAcentral